GAGACCAGUUCCUCAGGAGGCAAAGGUGUGAAGUAGAGGGGACUACAGCUGUGAAGGGAGGUGUUUGGCUCUUAGGGAAAAUGGGUGUGAAAGAAUGGGAGCUUAGAUCCUGAAAGGGAUGAACAGGGACAUAUGAAGAUAACAUAUUGCUUCAGAUGAACAGCUUUUCAGACUCUCGAAAGGAUAUGAGAGAAUGGUGUCAGAACUAGUAUCUAUAGGCAUCACAUGGUCUUUAUCUGGUGGAGGAGGCAGGAAGCCUUAAAUGGUUCACAGAUUUAAGAAACAGAAGUUAACUGCCUUGGGUUAAUCAAUGUGUCAUUCACUCAAUUUUUGCUUUGGCAUAUUUAAAGUCAAUCCUGUGAUAUAUAUUUAACUUCAUUUCAAUUUUAAUAUAAUAGUUGUUUGAGAACAAACACACCAUAAUACAGAAUAGAAAAUAUAUUUGACAAAAUGCUGUAAAACUGCCAAAUAACACUUAGUGAAUUGAAAAUUCCCUUUUAAAAAAUCUAGCAUGAGGCUGGGAUGUAGCUCAGUAGUACAGUUCUUGCCUAGCAUGCUUACCCAGGACCAUGGGUCUGAUCCCAGCACUGGAAAACAAAAAGAAACAAAAACCAAACUAACGUGAAAUGUGUUAAUAAUUAUUAACUUAUAAAAAACAAUUUUUGAACUGUCCAUUUUAUUAAAAUAGUUUAUUUAAGGAAAAGUUAAAGACUGAAGAAUGUGGGAAAUACUGGCUAAUUAUAGCAUUAUUCUUACCUAUUGUGCGGAGAGGAAAAGUUUGUGUUCUGAUAAUUAAGUAUUGACAGAAAAGUGCCACAUUACAGUUAGCCCUCUGUAUCUAAGGGUUCCACAACAGAGGAUUCAACUGUUUGGAUCUAAUCUGUUUGAAUGACAAAAAAAAAAAAAAAAAAAAAAAAAAUUGUGUCUUUACUGAACAUGUUCAGACUUUUUGCCUUGUCUGUAUUCCCUACAUUAUAACAUAACAACUGCC
This 991-nucleotide long non-coding RNA is filed under the name Marmota monax (woodchuck). Lineage: Eukaryota; Metazoa; Chordata; Mammalia; Rodentia; Sciuridae. The record is from RNAcentral.